RNAcentral lists this ribosomal RNA (439 nucleotides) under uncultured bacterium. RNAcentral describes it as "partial 16S ribosomal RNA". It matches the Rfam family "Bacterial small subunit ribosomal RNA", at positions 339 to 795 of the family's 1533-position model. The record is from RNAcentral.
CUACGGGCGGCUCCAGUGAGGAAUAUUGCACAAUGGGGGGAACCCUGAUGCAGCGACGCCGCGUGGAGGAUGACGCAUUUCGGUGUGUAAACUCCUUUUAUAUGUCAAGAAAAUGACGGUAGCAUAUGAAUAAGCACCGGCUAACUCCGUGCCAGCAGCCGCGGUAAUACGGAGGGUGCAAGCGUUACUCGGAAUCACUGGGCGUAAAGGACGCGUAGGCGGGUUGGAAAGUCAGGUGUGAAAUCCUACAGCUUAACUGUAGAACUGCACUUGAAACUUAUAAUCUAGAGUAUGGGAGGGGGAGAUGGAAUUAGUGGUGUAGGGGUAAAAUCCGUAGAUAUCACUAGGAAUACCUAAAGCGAAGGCGAUCUCCUGGAACAUUACUGACGCUAAGGCGUGAAAGCGUGGGGAGCAAACAGGAUUAGAUACCCGUGUAGUC